AAAUUGACAAACACCAAUUUUGAUCAUUGAGAAGCUUAAUAUUCCCUUUACAACACAACGUAAUUAAAACGUUUAGCUGACUUUACAGAGUUAUCUCCCUGUAGUUUUAGUAGGUACCACAUUAAGACUUGAAAAUUGUUCUACAUGUAAUGUGGAUUCAUUUAUUUUCGUGGACACCAAAUUCGUGAAUUCAGGAAAACUCUCCAAUUUUCAAGGAUACUUGAUUUUGUGGUUUUAAAAUAUUUGCAUACAAGCCUACAAGAAAUUGUUAAACACACAAAUCCAAGAUUUAUCUGUAUCAAUGAAACCAACAAAAAUUUGUAUCCAACAAAUAAUUAUAAAUCCACAGUUUAUGAAAGAAAAGAGCUUAGUAAGACUCUGGAAAAUAUUUUAUUCUCCUUCGGUUUUAGAAGAAUCCAUGAGAAAUACUUAAAUUUUGGGGUAUGCGAAUAGAUAUUGGUCAAUGGCUAUAAUAUUUGUUAAAAAUUUACACAAGGCUCUCAUGUAGGUUAUAGUGAUUACUUAACAUACUGUGAAUUUUAUAUUAUUUGUGGGAUACUUGAAGUUAUAAUGGAAUUUUGGAUCCACAAAUAUUAAAAAUUGAUGCUUGUAUGAAAAAUAUGUAAAAUUUCUGAAAAAGAGAAUUUAUCAUGUUUCUGAAAUUGUAAGUUUUUCUCAAUUCACAAAGAUUGGUACCCAAUAAAAUUAACAAAUCCACAUUAAAACAUGUUAAUGACUACUUGAUGUGUAAAUAAAAAUAAUAAAAAGAUCAUUGCAUACAUUGCAUUUUUUUGGAUACUUAUACUGCAGAUCUAUAUAAACAAAUUUUAUAUACAAGCCAGUUAAAAAUUAGAACUUUUGAUGAAUGCUAUAAUUUGUGAUUCUCUCGAUCCCACACAAUCCAUGAAAAUUAGUAGCCCACAAAUGAUAAUGAAUUUACAUUACCCCCAUCCCCCUUUCCCAUAUUUGUAUACAUCCAUCCAUUAGGCCAGGUUUUAUAUACCUCAUCUGUUCUAAUACUCUUUCUGCUUAUUUAUAGAUUUACGUACGCUUCCCAGUUUGUUUAUUUUAGUUGUUUUUGGAAUAAUUGUAACACUACAGCACACCGACAUGACAUCUUGAUAUUUAUGGUCAUUUUCACCUAAACAAAUUACAGGGUUUGUGAAAUUUAUAUAAAAAAAAAUUCCAAUAGACUAUGAAUAAAUUAAUUUGGACCUGAACAAGAUAAAUCCUAUUUUACCUACCAAGAUGACAUUGUAGAAAAAAACAUCUACCUCAGUAAGAACUGCAGCUUUUCUACAAAUCAUUCCCCAUUUUUGCUUUAUUAUUAGAUUACUGCUGUUGGUUUUUAGUAACUUCAUUUCAAAUAAUUCUUAAAACGAUCACAAAAAGCUACAAAAAACGUAAAAAAUCUUUCUUACGUUAGAUGUUUUGAUAACAAAUGUUUAAUAAAGAAUGGGGAAUCAUUGAACAUGUGAAAGGUUUAUUUAAUAUCUCAAAAGCCUUUACCCACUUGAUAUAACCAGAAAAUUAAAUUCUGUGCCAGCAGUUUUCAUUAUGGAUAUAAUAUUUCUUUGUUUACUAAAAUAU
This 1590-nucleotide long non-coding RNA is filed under the name Mytilus galloprovincialis (Mediterranean mussel). The record is from RNAcentral. Lineage: Eukaryota; Metazoa; Mollusca; Bivalvia; Mytilida; Mytilidae.